RNAcentral lists this ribosomal RNA (955 nucleotides) under bacterium. Its description in RNAcentral is "bacterial SSU rRNA". It matches the Rfam family "Bacterial small subunit ribosomal RNA", at positions 47 to 984 of the family's 1533-position model. The record is from RNAcentral.
CCUAUCAUGCAGUCGAGCGAACAGACAAGGAGCUUGCUCCUUUGACGUUAGCGGCGGACGUUUUGAGUAACACGUGGGUAACCUACCUAUAAGACUGGGAUAACUUCGGGAAACCGGAGCUAAUACCGGAUAAUAUUUCGAACCGCAUGGUUCGAUAGUGAAAGAUGGUUUUGCUAUCACUUAUAGAUGGACCCGCGCCGUAUUAGCUAGUUGGUAAGGUAACGGCUUACCAAGGCGACGAUACGUAGCCGACCUGAGAGGGUGAUCGGCCACACUGGAACUGAGACACGGUCCAGACUCCUACGGGAGGCAGCAGUAGGGAAUCUUCCGCAAUGGGCGAAAGCCUGACGGAGCAACGCCGCGUGAGUGAUGAAGGUCUUCGGAUCGUAAAACUCUGUUAUUAGGGAAGAACAUACGUGUAAGUAACUAUGCACGUCUUGACGGUACCUAAUCAGAAAGCCACGGCUAACUACGUGCCAGCAGCCGCGGUAAUACGUAGGUGGCAAGCGUUAUCCGGAAUUAUUGGGCGUAAAGCGCGCGUAGGCGGUUUUUUAAGUCUGAUGUGAAAGCCCACGGCUCAACCGUGGAGGGUCAUUGGAAACUGGAAACUUGAGUGCAGAAGAGGAAAGUGGAAUUCCAUGUGUAGCGGUGAAAUGCGCAGAGAUAUGGAGGAACACCAGUGGCGAAGGCGACUUUCUGGUCUGUAACUGACGCUGAUGUGCGAAAGCGUGGGGGAUCAAACAGGAUUAGAUACCCUGGUAGUCCACGCCGUAAACGAUGAGUGCUAAGUGUAGGGGGUUUCCGCCCCUUAGUGCUGCAGCUAACGCAUUAAGCACUCCGCCUGGGGAGUACCGACGGCAAGGUUGAAACUCAAAGGAAUUGACGGGGGACCCGCACAAGCGGGUGGAGCAUGUGGUUUAUUCGAAGCAACGCGAAGAACCUUACCAAAUCUUGA